Non-coding RNA from Podarcis lilfordi (Lilford's wall lizard), 71 nucleotides. NCBI's taxonomy places the organism in Eukaryota, Metazoa, Chordata, Lepidosauria, Squamata, Lacertidae. The record is from the annotation of a GenBank genome assembly.
ACAUUAGCUCAGUUGCUUAGAGUGUGGUGCUGAUAAUGCCAAGGUCGUGGGUUUUAUCCCCAUAUGGGCCA